AACGCGAAGAACCUUACCAAGGCUUGACAUCCAACUAAUCCCGUAGAGAUAUGGGAGUGCCCUUCGGGGAAAGUUGAGACAGGUGGUGCAUGGUUGUCGUCAGCUCGUGUCGUGAGAUGUUGGGUUAAGUCCCGCAACGAGCGCAACCCCUAUAUUUAGUUGCUAACAGGUAAAGCUGAGAACUCUAGAUAGACUGCCGGUGACAAACCGGAGGAAGGUGGGGAUGACGUCAAAUCAUCAUGCCCCUUAUGUCUUGGGCUACACAUGUGCUACAAUGGACGGUACAGACGGAAGCGAAGCCGCGAGGUGAAGCAAAUCCGAGAAAGCCGUUCUCAGUUCGGAUUGCAGGCUGCAACUCGCCUGCAUGNAGUCGGAAUCGCUAGUAAUCGCAGGUCAGCACACUGCGGUGAAUACGUUCCCGGGCCUUGUACACACCG
This 437-nucleotide ribosomal RNA is filed under the name uncultured bacterium SHE-151. Its description in RNAcentral is "bacterial SSU rRNA". It matches the Rfam family "Bacterial small subunit ribosomal RNA", at positions 958 to 1392 of the family's 1533-position model. The record is from RNAcentral.